This 613-nucleotide ribosomal RNA is filed under the name Aspergillus versicolor. RNAcentral describes it as "eukaryotic LSU rRNA". It matches the Rfam family "Eukaryotic large subunit ribosomal RNA", at positions 1 to 626 of the family's 3401-position model. The record is from RNAcentral. Lineage: Eukaryota; Fungi; Ascomycota; Eurotiomycetes; Eurotiales; Aspergillaceae.
UUGACCUCGGAUCAGGUAGGGAUACCCGCUGAACUUAAGCAUAUCAAUUAAGCCGGAAGAAAAGAAACCAACCGGGAUUGCCCCAGUAACGGCGAGUGAAGCGGCAAGAGCUCAAAUUUGAAAUCUGGCCCCUCCGGGGUCCGAGUUGUAAUUUGCAGAGGAUGCUUCGGGUGCGGCCCCUGUCUAAGUGCCCUGGAACGGGCCGUCAGAGAGGGUGAGAAUCCCGUCUUGGGCAGGGUGCCCGUGCCCGUGUGAAGCUCCUUCGACGAGUCGAGUUGUUUGGGAAUGCAGCUCUAAAUGGGUGGUAAAUUUCAUCUAAAGCUAAAUACCGGCCGGAGACCGAUAGCGCACAAGUAGAGUGAUCGAAAGAUGAAAAGCACUUUGAAAAGAGAGUUAAACAGCACGUGAAAUUGUUGAAAGGGAAGCGCUUGCGACCAGACUCGGCCUCGGGGUUCAGCCAGCAUUCGUGCUGGUGUACUUCCCCGGGGCCGGGCCAGCGUCGGUUCGGGCGGCCGGUCAAAGGCCCCAGGAAUGUAUCGUCCUCCGGGACGUCUUAUAGCCUGGGGUGCAAUGCGGCCAGCCUGGACCGAGGAACGCGCUUCGGCACGGACGC